This 565-nucleotide ribosomal RNA is filed under the name uncultured bacterium. RNAcentral describes it as "bacterial SSU rRNA". It matches the Rfam family "Bacterial small subunit ribosomal RNA", at positions 194 to 751 of the family's 1533-position model. The record is from RNAcentral.
GUGGCCUCUACUUGUAAGCUAUCGCCUGAAGAGGGGUUUGCGUCUGAUUAGGUAGUUGGUGAGGUAACGGCCCACCAAGCCGACGAUCAGUAGCCGGUCUGAGAGGAUGAACGGCCACACUGGAACUGAGACACGGUCCAGACUCCUACGGGAGGCAGCAGUGGGGAAUCUUCCGCAAUGGGCGAAAGCCUGACGGAGCAACGCCGCGUGAGUGAUGACGGCCUUCGGGUUGUAAAGCUCUGUGAUCGGGGGCGAACGGUCAGCAGACGAAUACUCUGCUGAAGUGACGGUACCCGAAUAGCAAGCCACGGCUAACUACGUGCCAGCAGCCGCGGUAAUACGUAGGUGGCAAGCGUUGUCCGGAAUUAUUGGGCGUAAAGCGCGCGCAGGCGGCUUCUUAAGUCCAUCUUAAAAGUGCGGGGCUUAACCCCGUGAUGGGAUGGAAACUGAGAGGCUGGAGUAUCGGAGAGGAAAGUGGAAUUCCUAGUGUAGCGGUGAAAUGCGUAGAGAUUAGGAAGAACACCGGUGGCGAAGGCGACUUUCUGGACGACAACUGACGCUGAGG